UACGAAGGGUGCAAGCGUUAAUCGGAAUUACUGGGCGUAAAGUGUGCGCAGGCGGCCGCGCAAGUCGAGUGUGAAAGCCCCGGGCUUAACUUGGGAAUUGCGCUCGAAACUACGUGGCUGGAGUGUGGCAGAGGAAGGUGGAAUUCCAGGUGUAGCGGUGAAAUGCGUAGAGAUCUGGAGGAACACCAGUGGCGAAGGCGGCUCUCUGGAACGCAACUGACGCUGAGACGCGAAAGCGUGGGGAGCAAACAGG
RNAcentral lists this ribosomal RNA (253 nucleotides) under uncultured bacterium. Its description in RNAcentral is "partial 16S ribosomal RNA". It matches the Rfam family "Bacterial small subunit ribosomal RNA", at positions 524 to 776 of the family's 1533-position model. The record is from RNAcentral.